GACGAACGCUGGCGGCGUGCUUAACACAUGCAAGUCGAACGGUGAACCGGGCUUCGGCCCGGGGAUCAGUGGCGAACGGGUGCGUAACACGUGGGCAACCUGCCCCAGACACUGGGAUAACUCCGGGAAACCGGGGCUAAUACCGGAUACUCCGGUCGAACCUCAUGGUUCGAUCGGGAAAGCUCCGACGGUCUGGGAUGGGCCCGCGGCCUAUCAGCUUGUUGGCGAGGUAACGGCUCACCAAGGCGACGACGGGUAGCUGGUCUGAGAGGACGACCAGCCACACUGGAACUGAGAUACGGUCCAGACUCCUACGGGAGGCAGCAGUGGGGAAUCUUGCACAAUGGGCGAAAGCCUGAUGCAGCGACGCCGCGUGGGGGACGAAUGCCUUCGGGUUGUAAACCCCUUUCGGCAGGGAAGAAGCGCAAGUGACGGUACCUGCAGAAGAAGUCCCGGCUAACUACGUGCCAGCCGCCGCCGUAACAC
This 486-nucleotide ribosomal RNA is filed under the name uncultured bacterium. RNAcentral's name for it is "bacterial SSU rRNA". It matches the Rfam family "Bacterial small subunit ribosomal RNA", at positions 28 to 526 of the family's 1533-position model. The record is from RNAcentral.